Molecule: ribosomal RNA, 438 nt
Filed under: uncultured bacterium
Lineage: Bacteria
Description: partial 16S ribosomal RNA
Rfam family: Bacterial small subunit ribosomal RNA
Source: RNAcentral
CUACGGCGGCAGCAGUGGGGAAUAUUGCACAAUGGAGGAAACUCUGAUGCAGCAACGCCGCGUGGAGGAUGACACUUUUCGGAGCGUAAACUCCUUUUAUAUAGGAAGAAGAUGACGGUACUAUAUGAAUAAGCGCCGGCUAACUCCGUGCCAGCAGCCGCGGUAAUACGGAGGGCGCAAGCGUUACUCGGAAUCACUGGGCGUAAAGAGCGUGUAGGCGGAUUAAAAAGUCAGAAGUGAAAUCCUAUAGCUUAACUAUAGAACUGCUUCUGAAACUCUUAAUCUAGAAUAUGGGAGAGGUAGAUGGAAUGUCUGGUGUAGGGGUAAAAUCCGUAGAGAUCAGAAGGAAUACCGAUUGCGAAGGCGAUCUACUAGAACAUUAUUGACGCUGAGACGCGAAAGCGUGGGGAGCAAACAGGAUUAGAUACCCCCGUAGUC